This 658-nucleotide long non-coding RNA is filed under the name Bos indicus x Bos taurus (hybrid cattle). Its description in RNAcentral is "lncRNA (ENSBIXG00000017805.1)". Lineage: Eukaryota; Metazoa; Chordata; Mammalia; Artiodactyla; Bovidae. The record is from RNAcentral.
GUUCCAGUGAAAAACUAUCAGAGCCUUGUCUAAUUUAAUGUUUGAUUCCCAGGAAGUAGCUCUAUGACUUCACCCAAUCUGGAAAAGGAAACUGAGGCACAUAAAAAUUAAGUCAUUCACCCAAGAUUUCACGGUGGAAUAAAUAGAAAUGGAACCAAGGCAUUUUUUGCUCUGAAAUUAGGCAUUUCAGCUAAGAGGCUGAAAAUUUUCUGAGCUACUGUUUAGAGAUGACAUGUAAUCUGAACUGUUCCCUCUUUUUCUUCCACCAGUGUCUGUCAACUGUGCUAAAAACUGGCUCCAGGUCAAAGUGAGACGAACGCCGUUUGUGGAUGAGCUGCUACCCCAGGUUCAUGAGCUCUUUCUCGGAGAUGGCUGCCCCGUCACCACAGAGCUGCCUGAUUCCUUUGAGUUCCUUUACAGUCUUACUACUUGUGGCAUCAGGACUUACAAAUGAUCCAUUCACCUUUGGGGAAGAAGACAUAGAAAGUGAUAAUGAAACAACUGGGGAAAACGCCCAAGGGCCAGGCAGACAGAAGAACACAGCACCACCGGAAGCACCAUCCUUGGAGCCCCCUCCAGGAAUACCAAGCAAGUGAGUCGUCUUUUGACUUAGUACUAUCAAUGCUUUCCAAGGCACAAAAAAGCAAAGGUUCAGUAC